RNAcentral lists this ribosomal RNA (433 nucleotides) under uncultured bacterium. Its description in RNAcentral is "partial 16S ribosomal RNA". It matches the Rfam family "Bacterial small subunit ribosomal RNA", at positions 29 to 507 of the family's 1533-position model. The record is from RNAcentral.
AACGAACGCUGGCGGCAUGCCUAACACAUGCAAGUCGAACGAGACCUUCGGGUCUAGUUGCGCACGGGUGCGUAACGCCUGGGAACCUGCCCUUAGGUUCGGAAUAACUCCCCGAAAGGGGUGCUAAUACCGGCUAAUGUCUUCGGACCAAAGAUUUAUCGCCUUUGGAUGGGCCCGCGUUUGAUUAGCUCGUUGGUAGGGUAAAAGCAUACCAAGGCGACGAUCCAUAGCUGGUCUGAGAGGAUGAACAGCCACACUGGGACUGAGACACGGCCCAGACUCCUACGGGAGGCAGCAGUGGGGAAUAUUGGACAAUGGGCGAAAGUCUGAGCCAGAAAUGCCGCGUGAGUGAUGAAGGCCUGAGGGUUGUAAAGCUCUUUUACCCGGGAUGAUAAUGACAGUACCGGGAGAAUAAGCUCCGGCUAACUCCGUG